AGCAGCGUGGCUCAGUGGAAAGAGCGCGGGCUUGGGAGUCAGAGGUCCCGGGUUCUAAUCCCGGCUCCGCCA
Molecule: transfer RNA, 72 nt
Filed under: Ornithorhynchus anatinus (platypus)
Lineage: Eukaryota; Metazoa; Chordata; Mammalia; Monotremata; Ornithorhynchidae
Rfam family: tRNA
About the family: Transfer RNA (tRNA) molecules are approximately 80 nucleotides in length. Their secondary structure includes four short double-helical elements and three loops (D, anti-codon, and T loops). Further hydrogen bonds mediate the characteristic L-shaped molecular structure. tRNAs have two regions of fundamental functional importance: the anti-codon, which is responsible for specific mRNA codon recognition, and the 3' end, to which the tRNAs corresponding amino acid is attached (by aminoacyl-tRNA synthetases). tRNAs cope with the degeneracy of the genetic code in two manners: having more than one tRNA (with a specific anti-codon) for a particular amino acid; and 'wobble' base-pairing, i.e. permitting non-standard base-pairing at the 3rd anti-codon position.
Source: Rfam by way of RNAcentral